UGAUAAUAGAAUUGCGAGACAGGAGCUGUUAAAAUAGAAACUUUGGUAAUGUAUUGGUCAAUCUUCAGCAUGAAAUACAUUAUCAACUGAAAAAAAACUGAUAGUGAUUAAUGAUGAAACCCCUGCAGCUACUGUGGCAUUUCAGGUAACUCAAUGUCGCCACUGAGGUUGGCUGGGGUUGUAUCAGUGGGUGUGGCUGAUAAUGUUAGCUUGGCAUGCAGCAGGGACACCUGGAGUGGUUGUGGUUGCUGUGUAUUGGCUUUUCAGGCUGUCAAGGAACCUGCGGCUGCUUUCACAACUCCCUGGGUGGGAAGCCAGAAUAUUUGGGGCCCAGCUGUGGUUGGCACAGCAGUCUGCAUUUUCCUGUGUUGGGGUAAAGUGUCCCCAGGCCACAGGGGGAUAUGAGGCAACUGUAGUCACAGAAGGAAAAGAAGGAAAGGAAACUGAAUUAUUUGUCAUUGAGACACAGCACACCACUGCACACAACAAAAUGUUUCUUGUCAUGAGGCUGUUUGCUGGUUCUGCUCUGGUGAAUGAUUUGGAUGGACACCAACAAAGAGAAGAUAUGUGGCCGUUGAUGCAGCUGCUAAAUAUCAAGAUAUUAUCCAGAUCCACAAUACUAAAGCUUCUUAUAUCUUGUAUCUACACACACUGUAAGACCCAAUAGUACAAGUUACAUAAAAAACACAAGUUAUAAUUACUCAAAAACAGUUUAAAAGGAAGUUAAAUUUAAAUAUGUGUGUCGUUUGAACGAAAAUUUUAAUUUAUGUUUAUCGUGCUCAUUCAUUUUAGUUGUACUUGGGUUUUAAGCAGGUAAUGUAUGACGUCAAGUACGACGCGACACGUACGCGACGUGCUCAGAAUUUUGAAGGCCGCCAUAUUGUCCCCUCCCUUCGAAAAUUGGCGGUCUGAAUUGCAAGUGGACGGAAGUAAACGGGCUAAACACUACAGAUGAACGGAUACGUCGGUUACACCAACUCGGCGCGUUUUGCUGAAAAUUCGCCUAACUCUGUUGUGACUCAGGUUGCCAAGCUAGCCUACGGUAUCGCUGCUUUCGAUUGCGGUUACAGUGAUUGUGACCUUGGCCGCUGUUGUCUGGAUGAUGAACCAGACAUUAAUGGAAAGACACUUGGGCUCCACUUGAUCAGUGUUUCUUCAACCAAUACCACACUCUUCUGCCCAGAGAAGAUUGGGGUUGUCCUGGGAUUAACAUUGAAAUCGAGACUACCACAUUGUCUGAUCGCUUUUUUGGGCUGAUUUAUACCUUACAUUUGAGGUAACCCAAAGGAGUUUGCCAACAUGUUUGAUUUUAAUUAGAUGGUUUUGAUGGGUCUAAAUGAUGGGUGAUAGAUAGUGGAAACCAAGAUUACGGAGUUUGAAAAAUGAACUUCAGUUAGUGGAGUAAUCCAGGUAUGCAAAGAAUGAGCAGUGAGUCAUAAUGUUUUGACAAGUAUUGAUACAUACUAAACAACGUUUAUAUAUAAAUAUUUAAAUAAUGAUUUAUAUAAUUAUUGGCACUUCUAAACCAGUUAUAGCCCAAAGGAUAAAGUCAUUUCUUUUUGGGCUCCUUGCACUGUUAUUCUAUGUAGUAACAGGUUGCAUGUUGAUGUGAGUUACUAAAUAAAAA
Long non-coding RNA from Cynoglossus semilaevis (tongue sole), 1627 nucleotides. RefSeq lists it as uncharacterized. The record is from RefSeq and is a predicted model, not a curated record. The transcript is spliced from 2 exons. Lineage: Eukaryota; Metazoa; Chordata; Actinopteri; Pleuronectiformes; Cynoglossidae.